GAUGAACGCUGGCGGCGUGCCUAAUACAUGCAAGUCGAGCGAACAGACGAGGAGCUUGCUCCUCUGACGUUAGCGGCGGACGGGUGAGUAACACGUGGAUAACCUACCUAUAAGACUGGGAUAACUUCGGGAAACCGGAGCUAAUACCGGAUAAUAUAUUGAACCGCAUGGUUCAAUAGUGAAAGACGGUUUUGCCGUCACUUAUAGAUGGAUCCGCGCCGCAUUAGCUAGUUGGUAAGGUAACGGCUUACCAAGGCAACGAUGCGUAGCCGACCUGAGAGGGUGAUCGGCCACACUGGAACUGAGACACGGUCCAGACUCCUACGGGAGGCAGCAGUAGGGAAUCUUCCGCAAUGGGCGAAAGCUUGACGGAGCAAAGCCGCGUGAGUGAUGAAGGUCUUCGGAUCGUAAAACUCUGUUAUUAGGGAAGAACAAAUGUGUAAGUAACUAUGCACGUCUUGACGGUACCUAAUCAGAAAGCCACGGCUAACUACGUG
RNAcentral lists this ribosomal RNA (497 nucleotides) under uncultured bacterium. RNAcentral describes it as "partial 16S ribosomal RNA". It matches the Rfam family "Bacterial small subunit ribosomal RNA", at positions 28 to 507 of the family's 1533-position model. The record is from RNAcentral.